CGAUACGGGACUCAUCCGAGGCCCCGUAAUCGGAAUGAGUACACUCUAAACCCUUUAACGAGGAUCAAUUGGAGGGCAAGUCUGGUGCCAGCAGCCGCGGUAACACCAGCUCCAAUAGCGUAUAUUAAAGUUGUUGCGGUUAAAAAGCUCGUAGUCGAAUUUGUGUCCCGCGCCGCCGGUUCAUCGCUCGCGGUGUUAACUGGCGUGUCCGCGGGACGUCCUGCCGGUGGACUUAGCUCUCGGGCGGUCCAAUCUCAAUCCCACCGCGGUGCUCUUUACUGAGUGUCGAGGUGGGCCGGCACGUUUACUUUGAACAAAUUAGAGUGCUUAAAGCAGGCUAAAAUAUCGCCUGAAUACUGUGUGCAUGGAAUAAUGGAAUAGGACCUCGGUUCUAUUUUGUUGGUUUUCGGAACCCCGAGGUAAUGAUUAAUAGGAACGGAUGGGGGCAUUCGUAUUGCGACGUUAGAGGUGAAAUUCUUGGAUCGUCGCAAGACGGACAGAAGCGAAAGCAUUUGCCAAAAACGUUUUCAUUGAUCAAGAACGAAAGUUAGAGGUUCGAAGGCGAUCAGAUACCGCCCUAGUUCUAACCAUAAACGAUGCCAGCUAGCGAUCCGCCGACGUUCCUCCGAUGACUCGGCGGGCAGCUUCCGGGAAACCAAAGCUUUUGGGAUCCGGGGGAAGUAUGGUUGCAAAGCUGAAACUUAAAGGAAUUGACGGAAGGGCACCACCAGGAGUGGAGCCUGCGGCUUAAUUUGACUCAACACGGGAACCUCACCAGGCCCGGACACGGAAGGAUUGACAGAUGAGAG
This 809-nucleotide ribosomal RNA is filed under the name Oniticellus planatus. Its description in RNAcentral is "SSU rRNA". It matches the Rfam family "Eukaryotic small subunit ribosomal RNA", at positions 477 to 1254 of the family's 1831-position model. Lineage: Eukaryota; Metazoa; Arthropoda; Insecta; Coleoptera; Scarabaeidae. The record is from RNAcentral.